GACGAACGCUGGCGGCGUGCCUAAUACAUGCAAGUUGAGCGAUGAAGAUUGGUGCUUGCACCAAUUUGAAGAGCAGCGAACGGGUGAGUAACGCGUGGGGAAUCUGCCUUUGAGCGGGGGACAACAUUUGGAAACGAAUGCUAAUACCGCAUAACAACUUUAAACAUAAGUUUUAAGUUUGAAAGAUGCAAUUGCAUCACUCAAAGAUGAUCCCGCGUUGUAUUAGCUAGUUGGUGAGGUAAAGGCUCACCAAGGCGAUGAUACAUAGCCGACCUGAGAUGGUGAUCGGCCACAUUGGGACUGAGACACGGCCCAAACUCCUACGGGAGGCAGCAGUAGGGAAUCUUCGGCAAUGGACGAAAGUCUGACCGAGCAACGCCGCGUGAGUGAAGAAGGUUUUCGGAUCGUAAAACUCUGUUGGUAGAGAAGAACGUUGGUGAGAGUGGAAAGCUCAUCAAGUGACGGUAACUACCCAGAAAGGGACGGCUAACUACGUG
This 497-nucleotide ribosomal RNA is filed under the name uncultured bacterium. RNAcentral describes it as "partial 16S ribosomal RNA". It matches the Rfam family "Bacterial small subunit ribosomal RNA", at positions 28 to 507 of the family's 1533-position model. The record is from RNAcentral.